RNAcentral lists this long non-coding RNA (336 nucleotides) under Lotus japonicus. RNAcentral's name for it is "long non-coding RNA (LJAP_LNC000640)". Lineage: Eukaryota; Viridiplantae; Streptophyta; Magnoliopsida; Fabales; Fabaceae. The record is from RNAcentral.
CCCAUAAUUUACUAUUAAUUAAAAGUGAUCUAACACUUAUCAUCCCUUUGUUAAAUUAGUCUACAGAACAACCCAAAAUUAACGCACUACAACCUUCAUUCAAUAAUUAGGUCAUGAUAACAAAUACAAAACAUCAAAUCAAAAGACUUAGCUGUCAAUUUGACUAGGCGGAAUGGAACACAAGUCAUUUGAAAACCCCCAAAAGUAGAAAUUGGUGAGAAAUUGAUUAACCAAUGUCUUAGGUGCAUGCAAACAUAGCUCCCACCAAUUACUAGUCUUGGAUCCUCUUCUCAAACACACAAAUAACAAUGAAGGAUAAAGAGUUUUCAUCAAAAU